Molecule: transfer-messenger RNA, 354 nt
Filed under: Candidatus Bipolaricaulota bacterium
Lineage: Bacteria; Candidatus Bipolaricaulota
Also listed under: 1 other name
Rfam family: transfer-messenger RNA
About the family: Bacterial tmRNA, also known as 10Sa RNA or SsrA, is named for its dual tRNA and mRNA-like properties. Its role is to liberate the mRNA from a stalled ribosome. To accomplish this part of the tmRNA is used as a reading frame that ends in a translation stop signal.
Source: RNAcentral
GGGGGUGACUGGCUUCGACGGAUUCUCUGAAGGAAGGUUGCAAGCGGAGCAUCUCGCGAUCUCCUUAAACUUGCGGGAAAAAACAACAACUGCGAACAAUUACGCAUUUGCUACGCCGUCCCUAAACUAGGGAUAGCCGCCCGAUAAGACUACCUCGCGAGUCUUGUCCUGGCGUCGACAAAGCGGGUAUAUCGCGGUAAAAGGCUUCCGACGCCGCGAAGAACUCUAGGAAGAUCGAUUCGCAUAACCUAGUCCACAAGGGUGUGCGCUUCAAAACUAAAAUGUGGAACUAAGCUUGUAGACGCUGACCCAAGGGGUUUUCGGACGCGGGUUCGACUCCCGCCACCUCCACCA